This is a long non-coding RNA of Neofelis nebulosa (Clouded leopard), 409 nucleotides long. RefSeq lists it as uncharacterized. The transcript is spliced from 2 exons. The record is from RefSeq and is a predicted model, not a curated record. Lineage: Eukaryota; Metazoa; Chordata; Mammalia; Carnivora; Felidae.
AUGGAUUUCAGCUGAGAGCCCUUGAGCUAUCCUUGUUCCUGACCUCUUAAAGCUUGGCUGUUUAGCUUUUUCUUCAAAUUCUAAGCAAAGAGAGAAUUCACUCACAGGAAUACAAAGAAUCCUGGGAGUUACCAAGAGACACAAAAGUUGGAAAAACUAGCACUUGCCUAGAAGAAGUCAAGCUAUCCAAGAAACCAAAGAGGUGUGGCUUUUUGUACUUGGCUUGAGAAUCUUUAUAACAUUCCAUCAAGGAGAAACCACAAAAAGAAAUGAAAAAGUUACAAAGCAGAGUUCUGGGUACCAACGGGGAAGGCCGGAGAGGGAUUCUACACAGAGGAAGCAUUUCUUCCAUUAAGGUUCAUGAAACCUGGAAGGUGGCGGCAAGCAGAUUACAGAGCCAUGGAACUUA